UUGUUUUAUUGCUAGAGCAACUCAGACGGCGCCGGUUGCGAGCAGAGUUCGUCUGGACUCCGGCGGCUGGGCGAGGCCCCGCCGCCAAAGAACAUCGUUUCGUCUGGGGUGACGUACACAAAGGGUGGGAGUGGGCCGCGCUCUCGCGACGGCCCGUACUCUGUAAUGAUCCUUCCGCAGGUUCACCUACGGAAA
Molecule: unclassified non-coding RNA, 195 nt
Filed under: uncultured fungus
Lineage: Eukaryota; Fungi
Description: sequence contains ITS1
Source: RNAcentral